This 443-nucleotide ribosomal RNA is filed under the name uncultured bacterium. Its description in RNAcentral is "bacterial SSU rRNA". It matches the Rfam family "Bacterial small subunit ribosomal RNA", at positions 355 to 796 of the family's 1533-position model. The record is from RNAcentral.
UAAGGAAUAUUGGUCAAUGGGCGGAAGCCUGAACCAGCCAUGCCGCGUGCAGGAAGACGGCCCUACGGGUUGUAAACUGCUUUUGCAGGGGAAUAAACCCCCGUAUGUAUACGGGGCUGAAUGUACCUUGAGAAUAAGGAUCGGCUAACUCCGUGCCAGCAGCCGCGGUAAUACGGAGGAUCCAAGCGUUAUCCGGAUUUAUUGGGUUUAAAGGGUGCGUAGGCGGCCUAUUAAGUCAGGGGUGAAAGACGGUAGCUUAACUAUCGCAGUGCCUUUGAUACUGAUGGGCUUGAAUAUACUAGAGGUAGGCGGAAUGUGACAAGUAGCGGUGAAAUGCAUAGAUAUGUCACAGAACACCAAUUGCGAAGGCAGCUUACUAUGGUAUGAUUGACGCUGAGGCACGAAAGCGUGGGGAUCAAACAGGAUUAGAUACCCCGUAGUCC